RNAcentral lists this ribosomal RNA (1006 nucleotides) under uncultured bacterium. RNAcentral describes it as "bacterial SSU rRNA". It matches the Rfam family "Bacterial small subunit ribosomal RNA", at positions 355 to 1375 of the family's 1533-position model. The record is from RNAcentral.
UGGGGAAUAUUGGGCAAUGGGCGAAAGCCUGACCCAGCAACGCCGCGUGAGUGAAGAAGGCUUUCGGGUUGUAAAGCUCUGUCCUAGGGGACGAAGGAAGUGACGGUACCCUGGGAGGAAGCCCCGGCUAACUACGUGCCAGCAGCCGCGGUAAUACGUAGGGGGCGAGCGUUGUCCGGAAUGACUGGGCGUAAAGGGCGUGUAGGCGGCCGAUUAAGUAUGGAGUGAAAGUCCUGCUUUCAAGGUGGGAAUUGCUUUGUAGACUGGUUGGCUUGAGUGCGGAAGAGGUAAGUGGAAUUCCCAGUGUAGCGGUGAAAUGCGUAGAGAUUGGGAGGAACACCAGUGGCGAAGGCGACUUACUGGGCCGUAACUGACGCUGAGGCGCGAAAGCGUGGGGAGCGAACAGGAUUAGAUACCCUGGUAGUCCACGCUGUAAACGAUGAAUGCUAGGUGUUGCGGGUAUCGACCCCUGCAGUGCCGGAGUAAACGCAAUAAGCAUUCCGCCUGGGGAGUACGGCCGCAAGGUUGAAACUCAAAGGAAUUGACGGGGGCCCGCACAAGCAGCGGAGCAUGUGGUUUAAUUCGAAGCAACGCGAAGAACCUUACCAGGUCUUGACAUCCGUGUAAAGCCGCAGAGAUGCGGUGUGAGCUUGCUCAAUACGAGACAGGUGGUGCAUGGUUGUCGUCAGCUCGUGUCGUGAGAUGUUGGGUUAAGUCCCGCAACGAGCGCAACCCUUAUCGUCCGUUACUAACAGGUAGCGCUGAGGACUCAGACGAGACCGCCGGGGACAACUCGGAGGAAGGUGGGGACGACGUCAAAUCAUCAUGCCCCUUACGACCUGGGCUACACACGUGCUACAAUGGGUACAACAAAGAGACGCGAGACCGCAAGGUGGAGCCAAACUCAGAAAAGUACUCUCAGUUCAGAUUGUGGGCUGCAACCCGCCCACAUGAAGUUGGAGUUGCUAGUAAUCGCGGAUCAGCAUGCCGCGGUGAAUACGUUCCC